Molecule: small RNA, 143 nt
Filed under: Flavobacterium sp. 1
Lineage: Bacteria; Pseudomonadati; Bacteroidota; Flavobacteriia; Flavobacteriales; Flavobacteriaceae
Description: Flavo-1 RNA
Rfam family: Flavo-1 RNA
Source: RNAcentral
UUUUAGCCCAGAUAAAAUGAAAAGCCUUAUGAAAAAAACUGCUAAUUUUUGUGGAAGUAAAAAAGCGACCAAAGGAAGCUCUUUUUACUUUUUACAAAAACAGCAGUUUUUGAGUAAGCUUGUAGUGGAUAGCUGGAUUGGCU